UGGGGAAUAUUGCACAAUGGGCGCAAGCCUGAUGCAGCCAUGCCGCGUGUAAGAAGAAGGCCUUCGGGUUGUAAAGUACUUUCAGUCGGGAGGAAGGUGGUAAGGUUAAUAACCUUAUCAAUUGACGUUACCGACAGAAGAAGCACCGGCUAACUCCGUGCCAGCAGCCGCGGUAAUACGGAGGGUGCAAGCGUUAAUCGGAAUUACUGGGCGUAAAGCGCACGCGGGCGGUUGAUUGAGUCAGAUGUGAAAUCCCCGGGCUUAACCAGUGAAUUGCGUCUGAUACUGGUAAGCUAGAGUGGUGUAGAGGGGGGUAGAAUUCCACGUGUAGCGGUGAAAUGCGUAGAGAUGUGGAGGAGAACCGGUGGCGAAGGCGGCCCCCUGGACAAAGACUGACGCUCAGGUGCGAAAGCGUGGGGAGCAAACAGG
This 429-nucleotide ribosomal RNA is filed under the name Chloroflexota bacterium. RNAcentral's name for it is "Chloroflexi bacterium partial 16S ribosomal RNA". It matches the Rfam family "Bacterial small subunit ribosomal RNA", at positions 355 to 776 of the family's 1533-position model. Lineage: Bacteria; Bacillati; Chloroflexota. The record is from RNAcentral.